UUCAAAAUUAGUCCCAAGGCCCACUCGGCCAAUUUCAGAAUUCCAGCACUGCAGCUCCGCCGUGCUCCGGGGACGGCGCUGCUGCCCGCAGCAGCAGUUCACCUCAGGUCAGUCAUUUUCGGCCGAUUUUAUUUCGAUCCUUGCGAGAAAACACGUUAAAGGGUCUCGGUUCGCCGAAAAAAUACAAAAAAUUGAAACGCACCAGUGGGGGAGCUCUUCAGUGUGACAGCUUUUCCCGCUCAAG
This 244-nucleotide long non-coding RNA is filed under the name Carica papaya (papaya). RNAcentral describes it as "long non-coding RNA (CPAP_LNC016089)". The record is from RNAcentral. Lineage: Eukaryota; Viridiplantae; Streptophyta; Magnoliopsida; Brassicales; Caricaceae.